Molecule: unclassified non-coding RNA, 297 nt
Filed under: uncultured Cortinarius
Lineage: Eukaryota; Fungi; Basidiomycota; Agaricomycetes; Agaricales; Cortinariaceae
Description: sequence contains ITS1
Rfam family: 5.8S ribosomal RNA (bases 1-105)
Source: RNAcentral
GAAAUGCGAUAAGUAAUGUGAAUUGCAGAAUUCAGUGAAUCAUCGAAUCUUUGAACGCACCUUGCGCUCCUUGGUAUUCCGAGGAGCAUGCCUGUUUGAGUGUCAUUAAUAUAUAUCAAACAAGAGUUUGGAUGGUGGUGGGGGUUUGCUGGCCUCUGUGAAGGGUUCAGCUCCCCUUAAAUGCAAUAGCAGAACAACCUGUUCAUUGGUGUGAUAACUAUCUACGCUAUUGAAUGUGGCUUUCCAAUCUAUCAUUAAUGUGACCUCAAAUCAGGUAGGACUACCCGCUGAACUUAA